CCUACGGGGCGCAGCAGUGGGGAAUCUUCCGCAAUGGGCGAAAGCCUGACGGAGCAACGCCGCGUGAUCGAAUGAAGGCCUUCGGGUUGUAAAGAUCUGUUGACAGGGACGAAUAAGCAAUGCGAAUAGUUUUGUGUAUGACGGUACCUGUUUAGAAAGCUCCGGCUAACUACGUGCCAGCAGCCGCGGUAAUACGUAGGUGGCAAGCGUUAUCCGGAUUUAUUGGGUGUAAAGGGCGUGUAGGCGGGAGCGCAAGUCAGAUGUGAAAACUCAGGGCUCAACCCUGAGCCUGCAUUUGAAACUGU
RNAcentral lists this ribosomal RNA (305 nucleotides) under uncultured bacterium. Its description in RNAcentral is "bacterial SSU rRNA". It matches the Rfam family "Bacterial small subunit ribosomal RNA", at positions 338 to 636 of the family's 1533-position model. The record is from RNAcentral.